RNAcentral lists this ribosomal RNA (443 nucleotides) under uncultured bacterium. Its description in RNAcentral is "partial 16S ribosomal RNA". It matches the Rfam family "Bacterial small subunit ribosomal RNA", at positions 338 to 795 of the family's 1533-position model. The record is from RNAcentral.
CCUACGGGUGGCUGCAGUGGGGAAUAUUGGGCAAUGGGCGCAAGCCUGACCCAGCAACGCCGCGUGAAGGAAGAAGGCUUUCUGGUUGUAAACUUCUUUUAUCAGGGACGAAGCAUGUUACGGUACCUGAUUAAUAAGUCACGGCUAACUACGUGCCAGCAGCCGCGGUAAUACGUAGGUGGCAAGCGUUAUCCGGAUUUACUGGGUGUAAAGGGUGUGUAGGCGGGAGUGCAAGUCAGAUGUGAAAACUAUGGGCUCAACCCAUAGCCUGCAUUUGAAACUGGAAGUCUUGAGUGCAGGAGAGGCAAUCGGAAUUCCGGGUGUAGCGGUGAAAUGCGUAGAUAUACGGAGGAACACCAGUUGCGAAGGCGGAUUGCUGGACAGUAACUGACGCUGAGGCGCGAAAGCGUGGGGAGCAAACAGGAUUAGAUACCCCUGUAGUC